AGUGAACGCUGGCGGUAGGCCUAACACAUGCAAGUCGAACGGCAGCACAGUAAGAGCUUGCUCUUACGGUUGGCGAGUGGCGGACGGGUGAGGAAUACAUCGGAAUCUACUUUUUCGUGGGGGAUAACGUAGGGAAACUUACGCUAAUACCGCAUACGACCUACGGGUGAAAGCAGGGGAUCUUCGGACCUUGCCCGAUUGAAUGAGCCGAUGUCGGAUUAGCUAGUUGGCUGGGUAAAGGCCCACCAAGGCGACGAUCCGUAGCUGGUCUGAGAGGAUGAUCAGCCACACUGGAACUGAGACACGGUCCAGACUCCUACGGGAGGCAGCAGUGGGGAAUAUUGGACAAUGGGCGCAAGCCUGAUCCAGCCAUACCGCGUGGGUGAAGAAGGCCUUCGGGUUGUAAAGCCCUUUUGUUGGGAAAGAAAAGCAGCAGGUUAAUACCCCGCUGUUCUGACGGUACCCAAAGAAUAAGCAACGGCUAACUUCGUG
RNAcentral lists this ribosomal RNA (492 nucleotides) under uncultured bacterium. RNAcentral's name for it is "partial 16S ribosomal RNA". It matches the Rfam family "Bacterial small subunit ribosomal RNA", at positions 29 to 507 of the family's 1533-position model. The record is from RNAcentral.